AGCGAACGCUGGCGGCAGGCUUAACACAUGCAAGUCGAGCGCCUGUAGCAAUACAGGAGCGGCAGACGGGUGAGUAACACGUGGGAACGUACCCUUUGGUUCGGAACAACACAGGGAAACUUGUGCUAAUACCGGAUAAGCCCUUCGGGGGAAAGAUUUAUCGCCAAAGGAUCGGCCCGCGUCUGAUUAGCUAGUUGGUGAGGUAAUGGCUCACCAAGGCGACGAUCAGUAGCUGGUCUGAGAGGAUGAUCAGCCACACUGGGACUGAGACACGGCCCAGACUCCUACGGGAGGCUG
This 297-nucleotide ribosomal RNA is filed under the name uncultured Pseudomonadota bacterium. Its description in RNAcentral is "uncultured proteobacterium partial 16S ribosomal RNA". It matches the Rfam family "Bacterial small subunit ribosomal RNA", at positions 29 to 351 of the family's 1533-position model. The record is from RNAcentral. Lineage: Bacteria; Pseudomonadati; Pseudomonadota.